This 253-nucleotide ribosomal RNA is filed under the name uncultured bacterium. RNAcentral describes it as "partial 16S ribosomal RNA". It matches the Rfam family "Bacterial small subunit ribosomal RNA", at positions 524 to 776 of the family's 1533-position model. The record is from RNAcentral.
CACGGGGGGAGCAAGCGUUGUUCGGAUUUACUGGGCGUAAAGAGCGCGCAGGCGGUCAGAUAAGUCGAAUGUGAAAGCCCCCGGCUCAACUGGGGAGGGUCAUUCGAUACUGUUCGACUCGAAGGCAGGAGAGGGAAGUGGAAUUCCCGGUGUAGUGGUGAAAUGCGUAGAUAUCGGGAGGAACACCAGUGGCGAAGGCGACUUCCUGGCCUGUUCUUGACGCUGAGGCGCGAAAGCUAGGGGAGCAAACGGG